Molecule: ribosomal RNA, 424 nt
Filed under: uncultured bacterium
Lineage: Bacteria
Description: bacterial SSU rRNA
Rfam family: Bacterial small subunit ribosomal RNA
Source: RNAcentral
UGAGGAAUAUUGGACAAUGGACGAAAGUCUGAUCCAGCCAUGCCGCGUGCAGGAUGAAUGCCCUAUGGGUUGUAAACUGCUUUUAUAUAGGAAGAAAACCCUCCACGUGUGGAGGCUUGACGGUACUAUAAGAAUAAGGAUCGGCUAACUCCGUGCCAGCAGCCGCGGUAAUACGGAGGAUCCAAGCGUUAUCCGGAAUUAUUGGGUUUAAAGGGUCCGCAGGCGGCCUAUUAAGUCAGAGGUGAAAUCCAACAGCUCAACUGUUGAACUGCCUUUGAUACUGAUAGACUUGAGUUAUUGUGAAGUGGUUAGAAUGUGUGGUGUAGCGGUGAAAUGCUUAGAUAUCACACAGAAUACCCAUUGCGAAGGCAGAUCACUAACAAUAUACUGACGCUCAUGGACGAAAGCGUGGGGAGCGAACGGG